RNAcentral lists this signal recognition particle RNA (243 nucleotides) under Desulfosarcina sp. OttesenSCG-928-G10. Its description in RNAcentral is "signal recognition particle sRNA large type". It matches the Rfam family "Bacterial large signal recognition particle RNA". Rfam says of the family: The signal recognition particle (SRP) is a universally conserved ribonucleoprotein involved in the co-translational targeting of proteins to membranes. The record is from RNAcentral. Lineage: Bacteria; Pseudomonadati; Thermodesulfobacteriota; Desulfobacteria; Desulfobacterales; Desulfosarcinaceae.
UUGUGCUAGGCGGGGAGUCAGCGGUGCCCUGUACCCGAAAUCCGCUUUAUGCGGGGCUGAAUUCCCCCCUUCGGGCAAAACCUGAAAAACGACCCAUGCCGGCCGGUCGCCGCGCAACAGACAGUCUCGAACCUCGUCAGGUCCGGAAGGAAGCAGCGAUAAGGGAUGGAAGUCUGUGUCGAGGAUCGAUCCCGGUCGGAUCAUGGGACCGGAUUUCAGGUUCGCUCAACGGGGGGUGCACAA